UACAGAGGUCCCAAGCGUUGUUCGGAUUCACUGGGCGUAAAGGGUGCGUAGGUGGCGGGGAAAGUCUGAUGUGAAAUCUCCGAGCUUAACUCGGAAAUGGCAUUGGAAACUACCUUGCUCGAGGGUUGGAGGGGGGACUGGAAUACUUGGUGUAGCAGUGAAAUGCGUAGAUAUCAAGUGGAACACCAGUGGCGAAGGCGAGUCCCUGGACAACUCCUGACACUGAGGCACGAAAGCUAGGGGAGCAAACGGG
This 253-nucleotide ribosomal RNA is filed under the name uncultured bacterium. Its description in RNAcentral is "partial 16S ribosomal RNA". It matches the Rfam family "Bacterial small subunit ribosomal RNA", at positions 524 to 776 of the family's 1533-position model. The record is from RNAcentral.